RNAcentral lists this ribosomal RNA (894 nucleotides) under Pagodulina pagodula. Its description in RNAcentral is "partial 16S ribosomal RNA". The stretch from base 374 to 573 matches the Rfam family "Archaeal large subunit ribosomal RNA", at positions 1802 to 2101 of the family's 2987-position model. The record is from RNAcentral. Lineage: Eukaryota; Metazoa; Mollusca; Gastropoda; Stylommatophora; Pagodulinidae.
UAAAUUUUAUUUAUUAUAUUUUCCCGAGAUACUAUGAGCUAUAUUACUAUAUUUGAUGAUAGUCACCUUUAUAGUCCAUCUGUAACAGUAGAUUAACUAAAUAUUAAUAUAGGAAUGAAAUGUUUUCAUAUAGUAUGAUAGCUGGAUAUCACCUAAAUAUAUUAAGUAUAACUUAUACAAUUAAGGAGUUAUUAGAUUCCUUAAAUUAUAGUAUUGAGAUUACUAAAUCUGAAAGUAAUAAUUUCUUUAACAUACUCUGAAUUUAUUAUUCAAAUUCGAAUUGAAUCUAUUAUAGCACUAGGGUAUAGAUUUGUUUAAUUCUUAUGUCUAAAAUUUUUUAAUGUUUAAAUUAGUAUUUAAUUAUCAAUUAGAAUAAAGGAACUCGGCAAAAUAAUUAGUGAACUGUUUAACAAAAACAUAGUCUAAAGAAUUAUUCCUCAAUUUAUUUUAGAUGUUUCCUGCCCGGUGAUUAUUUUAACGGCCGCAGUACUUUGACUGUGCUAAGGUAGCAUAAUAAAUAGGCUUUUAAUUGAAGUCGGGUAUGAAUGGAAUAAUCACUAAUUUCUGUCUCUACAUUAUAUUUUCUAAAAUUUAAUAAUCAGGUGAAAAUUCCUGAAUCUAUAACAUUAGACGAGAAGACCCUUAGAAUUAUUAAAUAUUUUAAUUUCAUUUGAAUUAACUGUUGUUUGUUGGGGCAACAGCUUUGGAUAUAAAUCUAUUUAAAUCAAAGCGAUUAUCACUACAUUAAUUUAACUUAUAUUUAUAAUUUACAAUUAAUUACCUAAGGGAUAACAGCAUAAUUUCAGAUAAUUAGCUUAUGACCUCGAUGUUGGAUUAAGGACCACUUAUAUAAGUAGUAUAAGUGUAAGGUUCUGUUCGAACUAUAUUUCCUUA